UACGAAGGGGGCUAGCGUUGUUCGGAAUCACUGGGCGUAAAGCGCACGUAGGCGGAUGUGCCAGUCAGGGGUGAAAUCCCGGAGCUCAACUUCGGAACUGCCUCUGAUACAGCACGUCUUGAGUCCGGAAGAGGUGGGUGGAAUUCCUAGUGUAGAGGUGAAAUUCGUAGAUAUUAGGAAGAACACCGGUGGCGAAGGCGGCCCACUGGUCCGGUACUGACGCUGAGGCACGAAAGCGUGGGGAGCAAACAGG
This 253-nucleotide ribosomal RNA is filed under the name uncultured bacterium. Its description in RNAcentral is "partial 16S ribosomal RNA". It matches the Rfam family "Bacterial small subunit ribosomal RNA", at positions 524 to 776 of the family's 1533-position model. The record is from RNAcentral.